AUCAACAUGACCUUCAUCAUCAUCUUCAUCUGGACUCUCACAGCGUUUGCUCAAGAGUGUAGAGGACAGAUCAGCGUCACUCAGAGUCCCUCAACGACAGCAGCUCAACCAGGAGAAACAGUUAAGAUCAACUGUAGAACCAGCACAAAUGUGUAUUACAGUGGUGCUUAUCUUUUAGCCUGGUACUUCCAGAAACCUGGAGAAGCUCCUAAACUCCUGAUUUAUUAUACAAACUACCUCCAGUCAGGAACUCCAUCUAGAUUCAGUGGCAGUGGAUCUAACAGUGAUUUCACUCUGACCAUCAGUGGAGUCCAGACUGAAGAUGCUGGACAUUAUUACUGUCAGAGUUAUCACAGUGGUAAUGUGUUCACACAGUGA
Non-coding RNA from Carassius auratus (goldfish), 378 nucleotides. NCBI's taxonomy places the organism in Eukaryota, Metazoa, Chordata, Actinopteri, Cypriniformes, Cyprinidae. The record is from the annotation of a RefSeq genome assembly.